UACAAGGCAGACGGCUCAGUAACACGUAGCCAACCUACCCUAUGGACGGGGAUAACCUUGGGAAACUGAGGAUAAACCCCGAUAGAUCAUUAUACCUGGAACGGUUUAUGGUCCAAAUGAUUCGUCGCCGUAGGAUGGGACUGCGGCCUAUCAGCUUGUUGGUGAGGUAAUGGCCCACCAAGGCUAUUACAGGUACGGGCUCUGAGAGGAGAAGCCCGGAGAUGGGUACUGAGACACGGACCCAGGCCCUAUGGGGCGCAGCAGGCGAGAAAACUUUGCAAUGUGCGCAAGCACGACAAGGUUAAUCCGAGUGUUUCCUGCUAAAGGAAUCUUUUGCUAGUCCUAAAAACACUAGCGAAUAAGGGGUGGGCAAGUUCUGGUGUCAGCCGCCGCGGUAAAACCAGCACCUCAAGUGGUCAGGAGGAUUAUUGGGCCUAAAGCAUCCGUAGCCUGCUCUGUAAGUUUCCGGUUAAAUCCAUUAGCUUAACUGAUGGGCCGCCGGAAAAACUGCAAAGCUAGGGAGUGGGAGAGGUAGACGGUACUCGGUAGGAAGGGGUAAAAUCCUUUGAUCUAUUGAUGACCACCUGUGGCGAAGGCGGUCUACCAGAACACGUUCGACGGUGAGGGAUGAAAGCUGGGGGAGCAAACCGGAUUAGAUACCCGGGUAGUCCCAGCUGUAAACGAUGCAGACUCGGUGAUGCCCUGGCUUGUGGCCAGUGCAGUGCCGCAG
RNAcentral lists this ribosomal RNA (730 nucleotides) under uncultured archaeon. Its description in RNAcentral is "bacterial SSU rRNA". It matches the Rfam family "Archaeal small subunit ribosomal RNA", at positions 75 to 806 of the family's 1478-position model. The record is from RNAcentral.